CAGCCGCCGCGGUAACGCGGAGGGGGCUAGCGUUGUUCGGAAUUACUGGGCGUAAAGCGCACGUAGGCGGCUUGGUAAGUUAGAGGUGAAAGCCUGGAGCUCAACUCCAGAAUUGCCUUUAAGACUGCCGAGCUAGCAGGUGAGAGAGGUAAGUGGAAUUCCGAGUGUAGAGGUGAAAUUCGUAGAUAUUCGGAAGAACACCAGUGGCGAAGGCGGCUUACUGGCUCAUACUGGACGCUGAGGCACGAAAGCGUGGGGAGCAAACAGGAUUAGAGACCCGCGUAGUCCCUGUCUCUUAUAC
RNAcentral lists this ribosomal RNA (301 nucleotides) under uncultured bacterium. Its description in RNAcentral is "partial 16S ribosomal RNA". It matches the Rfam family "Bacterial small subunit ribosomal RNA", at positions 509 to 807 of the family's 1533-position model. The record is from RNAcentral.